UACGGAGGGUGCAAGCGUUAUCCGGAUUCACUGGGUUUAAAGGGUGCGUAGGCGGGUUGGUAAGUCCGUGGUGAAAUCCCCAAGCUUAACUUGGGAACUGCCGUGGAUACUAUCAAUCUUGAAUAUCGUGGAGGUAAGCGGAAUAUGUCAUGUAGCGGUGAAAUGCUUAGAUAUGACAUAGAACACCAAUUGCGUAGGCAGCUUACUACACGAUCAUUGACGCUGAGGCACGAAAGCGUGGGGAGCGAACAGG
Molecule: ribosomal RNA, 253 nt
Filed under: uncultured bacterium
Lineage: Bacteria
Description: partial 16S ribosomal RNA
Rfam family: Bacterial small subunit ribosomal RNA
Source: RNAcentral